CAUUUUAGUAAGUCUCGACCAUAAUCUAAAAAUACAUGUCCACUGAGAUAUAAUACUGGGCAUCCAACCCAUAUCUCCAUAUAAGGCUAAGUUAGGGGUGUAUUUACCCACACCCAUAAAAAAUCUCAUUGCUCUAUUUUUUACAGCAUUAAUACAAGAAAAAUCCUGGUGACCCCAAAUUGAGGCACCGUAUUCAAUGACAGACAUAACAAGUGUAUCAAAAAGUUUUGUAAAUGUAUCAAAUUGAAAACCGCCAUUAGCUUUACAUUUAGCUAUUAAUAAACCUAAAGACCUACUUGCAGAUUUAGCUACUGCCUUAGCCAUACAAUUGUAGUCUAAAAAUUCUGACAACAGUAAACCUAGAUAAGUAUAACUAGGAACAAUUUCCAUAUCAUUAUUAUUAAGUACAAAAGUAAAAUUUGUCUUUGGUGUAGACUUAGUUCUGAAAUGUACAAUUUUUGAUUUCUCUAGAUUUACAACUAAAUCAUUUUUACAACAC
This 499-nucleotide long non-coding RNA is filed under the name Mytilus galloprovincialis (Mediterranean mussel). Lineage: Eukaryota; Metazoa; Mollusca; Bivalvia; Mytilida; Mytilidae. The record is from RNAcentral.